This 506-nucleotide ribosomal RNA is filed under the name uncultured bacterium. RNAcentral's name for it is "bacterial SSU rRNA". It matches the Rfam family "Bacterial small subunit ribosomal RNA", at positions 28 to 525 of the family's 1533-position model. The record is from RNAcentral.
GACGAACGCUGGCGGCGUGGAUUAGGCAUGCAAGUCGAACGGUAUCAUCCUUUCGGGGGUGAGAGAGUGGCGAACUGGUGAGUAACACGUAGGUUAUCUACCCUCAAGACGGGGACAACCCAGGGAAACUUGGGCUAAUACCGGAUGUGAGCAACUUUUAGUUGUUUGAAGGGUGGCGUAAGCUGUCGCUUGGGGAUGAGCCUGCGUCCUAUUAGUUAGUUGGUGAGGUAACGGCUCACCUAGGCAAUGAUAGGUAGGCGGCCUUAACGGGUGGUCGCCCACACUGGGAUUGAGAUACGGCCCAGACUCCUACGGGAGGCAGCAGUCGAGAAUAGUCUACAAUGGUCGGAAGACUGAUAGUGCGACGCCGCGUGAACGAUGAAUCCCUUCGGGGUGUAAAGUUCUUUUAUAUGUGAGCAGUGCUUCUUAUACUAACAGUAUGGGGAGAGAGAUAUUAGCAUAUGAAUAAGCAACGGCUAACUCCGUGCCAGCAGCCGACGGUAAAA